Lagenorhynchus albirostris (white-beaked dolphin) is the source of this 1636-nucleotide long non-coding RNA. RefSeq lists it as uncharacterized. NCBI's taxonomy places the organism in Eukaryota, Metazoa, Chordata, Mammalia, Artiodactyla, Delphinidae. The record is from RefSeq and is a predicted model, not a curated record. The transcript has 3 exons.
UGUCCGGCCGGGAGCCGCGCUCGAUGAUUCAUUGCCCCAAUUAGGGGUGCUCUCCUGCAAGCCCGGCGCGAGCCCUCUGAAGGGUCUCCUCGGGGACCCGCGGAAACCCAUCAGCCGCUAGAGCUGGUCUUUAAGUAAAGGUCAAGCAGGACGCGGGAGGAGCCAGAUGAGAAAGAAGAGACACUGAGCAUUAAGGUAGUCUUCAGGAGUGGCGGAGCUGGGAUUCAGGCGCCGGCAGCCGGCUCCAGGGCCCUGUUCUCAACUCCCCGGCUGUGCAGCGUCACUAAGCAAACGUCUGGUCCCCGUCAUCCGUCUGCUGAUGGAGACUGUCCACGGCAGGAGACACAGCCAGGACCUCUCCAUCCUCCCUGCCGCUCUGGCUCCAGCUGGGAGGCCUUGUGCAAAUCCAGGCCUCUCUGGGCCUCACAUUUCCCAUCUGCAAAAUGCCCACCCCUUCCAGCUUCAAAAAUCUAUGAGUCUCUGAUUUCUGAGCAGUGAACAGUCGUCCCAACCUGCCAGCUGGACCCCAGAGUCAGCCCGGCGACAAAGGUGCCAGGACUCAAGCGCGAUGGACUUGAAGAGCAGCGACAGAUGCUCCCAGGCGGCCCCGGCACUGGGAAUGGGGAGAAAACGCCCACCUCGGGUCUAUAGGAGACCAGGAGGCCGUGAGCCUGGAAUAUCCGGGCACCUCUCAAAUUUGCGGCUUCCUGUAGGGUCGUCUUGGCCCAGGAACUGCGGGAAUCUGCCCUCGCCCUGCGGGGGAGAGCAAAGCUUCCAGGCUCCGAGCACUCAUCACACGUUGGAUUAUGUGUCUGUCUCUGGGUGACUUCCCUCGCUGUGUCCCACAGCGUUACAAGGCCGGGGACAUAGCUGGGGCCCAAUCCAUGCUGAAACAUGGGAUACCAGACUCUAUCCAAAACCUCACAGUGCCUUCCAAGUUCCAGGAUCUCCUGCCAGCUUCCAGUCUUUCAUUCUUUUGAGUGCCAGCAAUCCAGACUAAAGCCUUCCAUGUGCCCCCAGCUCCCCGCACCAACCCUGCGGUACCUCACCGGUACCCUUCUCCGUUUCCUCCUCUCUCUACACUGCGAAAGGUCCUCUGGCUCCUCUCCCAGGACCCAUUCACCUUCGGAGGCUGGUCCAUCGUUCCUCUUUCAGAGGCUACGUGUGCUGUGUGUUGGCCUCUGGUUCACUGGGGACCAGAAAAACAAAAUUUAUCAUCUGACUGUCGUAUUUUUUUUUCUUUCCAUUUUUUUUUUUCCCGUAAGAAUGAAGCAAGCACUUCUCCUCUGUGCUCAGAAAGAGCUUCGAACAUGGCAGGCCACAGGCAAAAGCAUAUCCUCCUCCUCAGAGGGAAGGAAUGCAACCGUUAACAAUAAAAAAAAAAAAAAAAUCCCUGGGAUUUAUGGAGGCCUUGGGCUUAGGAGCUGCCUCACAUCCGUUAGCUUGUAAUGACACAGAGAUCCAGGGGGGGGCGAAGCAGGAUUCACCAGCUCCAUCUAAGAGACGGAGAAGCUGAGGCUGCAGAGCGCGGUUCUGGGGGACCAGGAGAAGCUCCCAGCUGCCGAGGCUGGUGAGAUAUCCUUGCCUUUGUAUGUGGAAACUGGGCUGAUUUGUUCACUGUAAACAUUAAAAAUAU